Molecule: long non-coding RNA, 518 nt
Filed under: Arabidopsis lyrata
Lineage: Eukaryota; Viridiplantae; Streptophyta; Magnoliopsida; Brassicales; Brassicaceae
Description: long non-coding RNA (ALYR_LNC000625)
Source: RNAcentral
UUUUGCUCAGACCUGCUGCUGAGAUUCGUCCUGGGGCUGCGCAGUACUGUGUCCAGAAACAAGAUCACGGUUUAGACAUGGCUUUGGAUCAAGAGCUGAUUGCAUUGUCUAAAUCUGCUCUAGAGAAAUCUCUUCCAGUGUACAUUGAAACUCCUAUCUGCAACGUUAACCGUGCUGUUGGGACAAUGCUGAGCCAUGAGGUAACUAAACGUUACCACUUGGCUGGGCUUCCGAAGGAUACAAUUCAUAUCAAGUUCACAGGAAGUGCUGGGCAGAGUCUUGGAGCUUUCCUGUGUCCAGGAAUUAUGCUAGAACUUGAGGGCGAUAGCAAUGACUAUGUUGGAAAAGGGCUCUCAGGAGGUAAAGUUGUUGUCUACCCUCCAAAAGGAAGCAGCUUUGAUCCAAAGGAAAAUAUCGUUAUCGGUAAUGUAGCACUUUAUGGUGCCACUAGUGGUGAAGCAUACUUCAAUGGGAUGGCUGCUGAAAGGUUCUCUGUUCGUAAUUCUGGUGCUAAAGCC